This 433-nucleotide ribosomal RNA is filed under the name uncultured bacterium. RNAcentral describes it as "partial 16S ribosomal RNA". It matches the Rfam family "Bacterial small subunit ribosomal RNA", at positions 29 to 507 of the family's 1533-position model. The record is from RNAcentral.
AACGAACGCUGGCGGCAUGCCUAACACAUGCAAGUCGAACGAGACCUUCGGGUCUAGUGGCGCACGGGUGCGUAACGCGUGGGAACCUGCCCUUAGGUUCGGAAUAACUCCCCGAAAGGGGUGCUAAUACCGGAUAAUGUCUUCGGACCAAAGAUUUAUCGCCUUUGGAUGGGCCCGCGUUGGAUUAGCUAGUUGGUAGGGUAAAAGCCUACCAAGGCGACGAUCCAUAGCUGGUCUGAGAGGAUGAUCAGCCACACUGGGACUGAGACACGGCCCAGACUCCUACGGGAGGCAGCAGUGGUGAAUAUUGGACAAUGGGCGAAAGCCUGAUCCAGCAAUGCCGCGUGAGUGAUGAAGGCCUUAGGGUUGUAAAGCUCUUUUACCCGAGGUGAUAAUGACAGUACCGGGAGAAUAAGCUGCGGCUAACUCCGUG